RNAcentral lists this ribosomal RNA (375 nucleotides) under uncultured bacterium. RNAcentral describes it as "bacterial SSU rRNA". It matches the Rfam family "Bacterial small subunit ribosomal RNA", at positions 29 to 432 of the family's 1533-position model. The record is from RNAcentral.
AACGAACGCUGGCGGCAUGCCUAACACAUGCAAGUCGAACGAGACCUUCGGGUCUAGUGGCGCACGGGUGCGUAACGCGUGGGAAUCUGCCCUUAGGUACGGAAUAACUCAGGGAAACUUGAGCUAAUACCGUAUAAUGACUCCGGUCCAAAGAUUUAUCGCCUAAGGAUGAGCCCGCGUCGGAUUAGCUAGUUGGUGAGGUAAAAGCUCACCAAGGCGACGAUCCGUAGCGGUCUGAGAGGAUGAUCAGCCACACUGGGACUGAGACACGGCCCAGACUCCUACGGGAGGCAGCAGUGGGGAAUAUUGGACAAUGGGCGAAAGCCUGAUCCAGCAAUGCCGCGUGAGUGAUGAAGGCCUUAGGGUUGUAAAGCU